AUACUUACCUGGCAGGGGAGAUACCAUGAUCACGAAGGUGGUUUUCCCAGGGCUAGGAUUAUCCAUUGCACUCCAGAUGUGCUGACCCCUGCAAUUUCCCCAAAUGUGGGAAACUCGACUGCAUAAUUUGUGGUAGUGAGGGACUGCAUUUGCGCUUUCCCCUG
Small nuclear RNA from Heterocephalus glaber (naked mole-rat), 164 nucleotides. Its record names the gene U1. It matches the Rfam family "U1 spliceosomal RNA". From Rfam's summary of the family: U1 is a small nuclear RNA (snRNA) component of the spliceosome (involved in pre-mRNA splicing). NCBI's taxonomy places the organism in Eukaryota, Metazoa, Chordata, Mammalia, Rodentia, Bathyergidae. The record is from Ensembl.